UACGGGGGGGGCAAGCGUUGUUCGGAAUUACUGGGCGUAAAGGGUUCGUAGGUGGCCAACUAAGUCAGACGUGAAAUCCCUCAGCUUAACUGGGGAACUGCGUCUGAUACUGGAUGGCUUGAGUGCAGGAGAGGAACGCGGAAUUCCAGGUGUAGCGGUGAAAUGCGUAGAUAUCUGGAGGAACACCGGUGGCGAAGGCGGCGUUCUGGACUGCAACUGACACUGAGGAACGAAAGCCAGGGGAGCAAACGGG
Molecule: ribosomal RNA, 253 nt
Filed under: uncultured bacterium
Lineage: Bacteria
Description: partial 16S ribosomal RNA
Rfam family: Bacterial small subunit ribosomal RNA
Source: RNAcentral